GAUGAACGCUGGCGGCGUGCCUAAUACAUGCAAGUCGAGCGAACAGACGAGGAGCUUGCUCCUCUGACGUUAGCGGCGGACGGGUGAGUAACACGUGGAUAACCUACCUAUAAGACUGGGAUAACUUCGGGAAACCGGAGCUAAUACCGGAUAAUAUAUUGAACCGCAUGGUUCAAUAGUGAAAGACGGUUUUGCUGUCACUUAUAGAUGGAUCCGCGCCGCAUUAGCUAGUUGGUAAGGUAACGGCUUACCAAGGCAACGAUGCGUAGCCGACCUGAGAGGGUGAUCGGCCACACUGGAACGGAGACACGGUCCAUACUCCUACGGGAGGCAGCAGUAGGGAAUCGUCCGCAAUGGGCGAAAGCCUGACGGAGCAACGCCGCGUGAGUGAUGAAGGUCUUCGGAGCGUAAUACUCGGUUAUUAGGGAAGAACAAAUGUGUAAGUAACUAUGCACGGCUUGACGGUACCUAAUCAGAAAGCCACGGCUAACUACGUG
RNAcentral lists this ribosomal RNA (497 nucleotides) under uncultured bacterium. RNAcentral's name for it is "partial 16S ribosomal RNA". It matches the Rfam family "Bacterial small subunit ribosomal RNA", at positions 28 to 507 of the family's 1533-position model. The record is from RNAcentral.